This is an unclassified non-coding RNA of Chelonoidis abingdonii (Abingdon island giant tortoise), 117 nucleotides long. Lineage: Eukaryota; Metazoa; Chordata; Testudines; Testudinidae. The record is from Ensembl.
CUUUGUCUAUCCAAAUAAAUGAUUCACCAACAGCAGUGGCAAUUCAAGCUUCCCCCAUACUGCCCCACCAGUGUACCUCAAAGUGGAUCUGGAGUACUCACUUCUAUGGUGAAAGAG